RNAcentral lists this ribosomal RNA (440 nucleotides) under uncultured bacterium. RNAcentral's name for it is "partial 16S ribosomal RNA". It matches the Rfam family "Bacterial small subunit ribosomal RNA", at positions 338 to 795 of the family's 1533-position model. The record is from RNAcentral.
CCUACGGGUGGCAGCAGUGGGGAAUAUUGCACAAUGGGGGAAACCCUGAUGCAGCGACGCCGCGUGAGUGAAGAAGUAUUUCGGUAUGUAAAGCUCUAUCAGCAGGGAAGAAAAUGACGGUACGCGAUUCAGAAGCCCCGGCUAAGUACGUGCCAGCAGCGGCGGUAAUACGUAGGCGGCAAGCGUUAUCCGGAUUUACUGGGGGGAAAGGGAGCGUAGUCGGCAGCACGAGUAUGGAGUGAAAUGCCGGGGCUUAACCCCAGAACCGCGUUGGAAACUGGGCAGCUGGAGUGCAGGAGAGGUAAGUGGAAUGCGUGGUGUAGCGGUGAAAUGCGUAGAUAUUAGGAGGAACACCAGUGGCGAAGGCGGCUUACUGGACUGUAACUGACGUUGAGGCUCGAAAGCGUGGGGAGCAAACAGGAUUAGAUACCCGAGUAGUC